RNAcentral lists this ribosomal RNA (504 nucleotides) under uncultured bacterium. RNAcentral describes it as "partial 16S ribosomal RNA". It matches the Rfam family "Bacterial small subunit ribosomal RNA", at positions 30 to 523 of the family's 1533-position model. The record is from RNAcentral.
AUUGAACGCUGGCGGCAGGCCUAACACAUGCAAGUCGAGCGGUAGCACAGAGAGCUUGCUCUCGGGUGACGAGCGGCGGACGGGUGAGUAAUGUCUGGGAAACUGCCUGAUGGAGGGGGAUAACUACUGGAAACGGUAGCUAAUACCGCAUAACGUCGCAAGACCAAAGAGGGGGACCUUCGGGCCUCUUGCCAUCAGAUGUGCCCAGAUGGGAUUAGCUAGUAGGUGGGGUAACGGCUCACCUAGGCGACGAUCCCUAGCUGGUCUGAGAGGAUGACCAGCCACACUGGAACUGAGACACGGUCCAGACUCCUACGGGAGGCAGCAGUGGGGAAUAUUGCACAAUGGGCGCAAGCCUGAUGCAGCCAUGCCGCGUGUAUGAAGAAGGCCUUCGGGUUGUAAAGUACUUUCAGCGGGGAGGAAGGUGCUGAGGUUAAUAACCUCAGCAAUUGACGUUACCCGCAGAAGAAGCACCGGCUAACUCCGUGCCAGCAGCCGCCGUAA